RNAcentral lists this long non-coding RNA (1655 nucleotides) under Salvia miltiorrhiza (redroot sage). RNAcentral's name for it is "long non-coding RNA (SMIL_LNC006617)". The record is from RNAcentral. Lineage: Eukaryota; Viridiplantae; Streptophyta; Magnoliopsida; Lamiales; Lamiaceae.
CCAAACUUGAAUUAAAUUUCCUUUCCGUAAGAUUUGAUUUUCUUCCACAAGCAGCAAAUUUUUGAUUUCUUUCACAUUCAAAUCUUUGACGAACGAGUAAAUUCAAUCUAUUUAAACCUCAUUGUAUCAUCCUCAAAAUUCACAAAUCCAACAAAAACUCAACUUUUAUAAUCCAUCCGGUUUUCUUCAACUGCACAAUUUCAACUGGUAAACUUUAUUUUUCCGCAAAGUUUUCAUGAUUUAAUUUCAUUUUCAUAUGCAAAGAUCUCUGCUUUCUUUCAAUUUACAGAAAACAACCAAAACUUUUACAACAGAAUUUAUGUUUUCGAAUUCAAAACAUGCAUACAUCCAUUUUCUGUAAUUUCCAUAAGGAAAUCAAAUAGAAUAAAUCUUACUAAAUACAUGAAAAAGAAAAUAGAAAUAGAAGAAGGGAGGGGAAAUUGUUGGUGAGUGUAUGACUGUUGAACAGCGCCGCCGGCGCUACGCGCCACGGCGGCUGGCGGAAGGAGGCAGGGGCGGCGUACGGCGAGAGAGGAAACAGGGGCAGCGGCACCGUGGUCUCUGCCGCUGCUGUGUACUUCCGGUCAGGGCGGAGGGAGAGGCGCUUGGGUUGUGCCGCUGUCGACGCGAGAGGGCGGUAGUGGUGGCGAAGGUCGCCGGAGAAGGAGACGCGGCCGCGGCUUGGCGCGGCGAGGAGAGGCAAGAGACCGAGGGAGAGAGGGAAGGAGAGAGAAGUGGAGCAGUUGCUGUGCGUAAGUGAGUGAAUGAGUGUUAUAUUAGGGGUUGAUAUUAGUCUUUGGGCUUGGGCUUAGGUUAAAUUCAUUUAAUGAGCUGAAUUUACUUAAAUAAUUGGGCUAAUAAUUUUAAUAAAAAUUGGGCUUUUAUUUUAAAUUAAGAUUUAAGCAACAAGAUCAUGCCUUAAAUAUUUUAUUAAUAAGAUCAAUGUAAUUUUAAAGGUUUUAUGUAAAUUUUCUUUAAUUUUUAAAUUAUUUUUACAAGUUCAAAUAGGCCCUUAUGUUUAUUAUUUGAAUUUAUCUGACUAGGUGCGGCGCGACUAGGACAUAACUGUUGAUCUGAAAUUAUUCAAGUUAUCUAUCAAAUCCAUAUUUUCAGGUGUGGGAUUUAUUUCAGUACAUGCACGUGGUUAAUAUUUGUCCAUUUUAAUAUUAUGUGUUUACCGUAUGUGUUGUAAAAAUAUUUAUCGCUAGGGGCCAGCAUAAUUGGUCCAGGACUUCACCGUCCUUGGUAUGCCACAAUGCGAUUUCAUGUUACAGGGUUGCAACCAUUAUAUUGUCGCCAGGGGCCCACAUAUAGGGUCCGGGACAUUAAAGUCCUUGGAGUUGCCACAGUGCGUAUGGAAGUUAUGUUACGUUAUGACAAUAUGUGUUACCAUUUUAUUAACAUGGACAAUUAUUGCAUGUUCCCACACUGAGUGUACCCUGUAUGCUCAUCCCAUAUUCAACAGUUUCAGGUGAUUGAUAUUGGAGGCGCGUGGAGAGUCGAAUGGGCGCGUCGAAUCUAAUUAAAAAUAAAUGUUUCUUAAAACAUAUUAUGUUAUUUCAUUUGAUAUCUUUUGGUUAUGUAAACUCUGAAAUUCUAUACUAUUUGAGAUUUGUGUGUGAUUUGUUUAAAUAAAUGUUAUUAUAUUAUUUUAA